CGUAAAAAGCUCGUAGGCGGUGUGUCGCGUCGGCCGUGAAAACCUGGGGCUCAACUCUGGGCGUGCGGUCGAUACGGGCAUCACUGGAGUUCGGCAGGGGAGACUGGAAUUCCUGGUGUAGCGGUGAAAUGCGCAGAUAUCAGGAGGAACACCGGUGGCGAAGGCGGGUCUCUGGGCCGAUACUGACGCUGAGGAGCGAAAGCAUGGGUAGCGAACAGGAUUAGAUACCCUGGUAGUCCAUGCCGUAAACGUUGGGCGCUAGGUGUGGGGUCCAUUCCACGGGUUCCGUGCCGCAGCAACGCAUUAAGCGCCCCGCCUGGGGAGUACGGCCGCAAGGCUAAAACUCAAAGGAAUUGACGGGGGCCCGCACAAGCGGCGGAGCAUGCGGAUUAAUUCGAUGCAACGCGAAGAACCUUACCAAGGCUUGACAUGCACCGGACGACUGCAGAGAUGUGGUUUCCCUUUGUGGCUGGUGUGCAGGUGGUGCAUGGUUGUCGUCAGCUCGUGUCGUGAGAUGUUGGGUUAAGUCCCGCAACGAGCGCAACCCUCGUUCCAUGUUGCCAGCGGGUUAUGCCGGGGACUCAUGGGAGACUGCCGGGGUCAACUCGGAGGAAGGUGGGGAUGACGUCAAAUCAUCAUGCCCCUUAUGUCUUGGGCUUCACGCAUGCUACAAUGGCUGGUACAGAGGGCUGCAAUACCGUGAGGUGGAGCGAAUCCCUUAAAACUGGUCUCAGUUCGGAUUGGGGUCUGCAACUCGACCCCAUGAAGUCGGAGUCGCUAGUAAUCGCAGAUC
This 793-nucleotide ribosomal RNA is filed under the name uncultured Actinomycetes bacterium. Its description in RNAcentral is "bacterial SSU rRNA". It matches the Rfam family "Bacterial small subunit ribosomal RNA", at positions 559 to 1350 of the family's 1533-position model. The record is from RNAcentral. Lineage: Bacteria; Bacillati; Actinomycetota; Actinomycetes.